Long non-coding RNA from Manis pentadactyla (Chinese pangolin), 267 nucleotides. RefSeq lists it as uncharacterized. Lineage: Eukaryota; Metazoa; Chordata; Mammalia; Pholidota; Manidae. The transcript has 2 exons. The record is from RefSeq and is a predicted model, not a curated record.
AGGACUAUCAGAAGAAAAGGAAAUGAGUUAUGUCAAGAUUGUUAAUCCCGAAACUGUUGUAAAGCGUAAAAAGAAAGGAUGGAGGAAGAAGCAAUGAAUUUGUCCCUUGCGGAUUUGAGAUUGUUCUGAUUUCCGGCAGCCGGUGGUCCUGCUGCGGAUUUUGUCACACAAACAGUGAUAAUCCACGGACACCAGGCUUUCCGUUGUUCGUUAGACAUAUUUGACAGCAUUUUUCCAGUUUAAAAAUAAAAGUUUGCUUUAAAUGAA